AAGUCGUAACAAGGUUUCCGUAGGUGAACCUGCGGAAGGAUCAUCGUAGGAUUUGUGAUAUCCUGUGGGUAUUAUCUUUUCCAGAUCCCAACCAAGAGAGGAGUUGACUGAGGAGGUUUGGUUUGGAGAAAAGGACAAAACUUUCAACAACGGAUCUCUUGGCUCUCA
This 168-nucleotide unclassified non-coding RNA is filed under the name fungal sp. Its description in RNAcentral is "partial internal transcribed spacer region". The stretch from base 1 to 46 matches the Rfam family "Eukaryotic small subunit ribosomal RNA", at positions 1786 to 1831 of the family's 1831-position model. The record is from RNAcentral. Lineage: Eukaryota; Fungi.